This 27-nucleotide small RNA is filed under the name Bombyx mori (domestic silkworm). Its description in RNAcentral is "piRNA piR-bmo-1847103". The record is from RNAcentral. Lineage: Eukaryota; Metazoa; Arthropoda; Insecta; Lepidoptera; Bombycidae.
UGUGAUGUUGGUGAGCUCCGGGUUGUA